RNAcentral lists this ribosomal RNA (497 nucleotides) under uncultured bacterium. Its description in RNAcentral is "partial 16S ribosomal RNA". It matches the Rfam family "Bacterial small subunit ribosomal RNA", at positions 28 to 507 of the family's 1533-position model. The record is from RNAcentral.
GACGAACGCUGGCGGCGUGCCUAAUACAUGCAAGUUGAGCGCUGAAGGUUGGUACUUGUACCCACUGGAUGAGCAGCGAACGGGUGAGUAACGCGUGGGGAAUCUGCCUUUGAGCGGGGGACAACAUUUGGAAACGAAUGCUAAUACCGCAUAAAAACUUUAAACACAAGUUUUAAGUUUGAAAGAUGCAAUUGCAUCACUCAAAGAUGAUCCCGCGUUGUAUUAGCUAGUUGGUGAGGUAAAGGCUCACCAAGGCGAUGAUACAUAGCCGACCUGAGAGGGUGAUCGGCCACAUUGGGACUGAGACACGGCCCAAACUCCUACGGGAGGCAGCAGUAGGGAAUCUUCGGCCAUGGACGAAAGUCUGACCGAGCAACGCCGCGUGAGUGAAGAAGGUUUUCGGAUCGUAAAACUCUGUUGGUAGAGAAGAACGUUGGUGAGAGUGGAAAGCUCAUCAAGUGACGGUAACUACCCAGAAAGGGACGGCUAACUACGUG